RNAcentral lists this ribosomal RNA (163 nucleotides) under Briza media. Its description in RNAcentral is "5.8S ribosomal RNA". It matches the Rfam family "5.8S ribosomal RNA". From Rfam's summary of the family: 5.8S ribosomal RNA (5.8S rRNA) is a component of the large subunit of the eukaryotic ribosome. Lineage: Eukaryota; Viridiplantae; Streptophyta; Magnoliopsida; Poales; Poaceae. The record is from RNAcentral.
CACACGACUCUCGGCAACGGAUAUCUCGGCUCUUGCAUCGAUGAAGAACGUAGCGAAAUGCGAUACCUGGUGUGAAUUGCAGAAUCCCGCGAACCAUCGAGUCUUUGAACGCAAGUUGCGCCCGAGGCCAUUCGGUUGAGGGCACGCCUGCCUGGGCGUCACG